CAGGGAGACAAAAACUGAUCGUGAUGUCUGAGUUAUUUAUUCUUAGGCCAUGAUCCUGUCACCUUAGGUCGAUCGGUACCUCAGAUUUUUGUCCAAGAUUGAAUGAAUUUCAAACAAUUUUUGGCAAUAGAUUUUAGUUCCUAAACUUUGUCUAGGUCACACCCAACAAGGGUACUCCUGGGCCAUUAGCUCAGGUGGUUAGAGCGCACCCCUGAUAAGGGUGAGGUCCCUGGUUCAAGUCCAGGAUGGCCCAUUCGAUGUUGGGGGUAUAGCUCAGUUGGUAGAGCGCCUGCUUUGCAAGCAGGAUGUCAGCGAUUCGAGUCCGCUUACCUCCACUGAUCGACCUCCUCGCACAAAAACAAAGGAGGUUUUUGUUGUGUGUGAAAUAGACUAGUUUUCCUGAAAGAACCUAGCUUCUUUUCAUUUUUACAUCGCUAUUAAUAGAGAUGAUUUUGAAAAGAUGCUGGGCUCACUUUAAUUCAUAAUGAAUUGAAGAAAGUUCAGUAGAACCUUGACAACUGCAUAGGUGAGUUUGGAAAGAAUAAAGCAUCUCAUGGAUGCAUUAUUCUUUAAGUAGAAUGUUUUAUUUCAAAUGUAUUUAAAACUAUUUUACUUAAUAGAAUAAUGUUUAAUUCUUGAGUCAAGAGCCGAGACUCUAUAGCGUUCUUUCGAUGUCAUCGAGGCAUCGAGAGUUUGAUUGGUUAUUCAAACCAUCUUCAAUGACAAACAAUUCAGUUUAACUGGAGAAGCUUGAGAUUGAAGCCAGGUGAAUUGCUAAGAAUACGUAUUCAACUACGUGAAGCGUUAUAGAGAUUAAUU
This 819-nucleotide transfer RNA is filed under the name uncultured cyanobacterium. RNAcentral's name for it is "partial contains 16S ribosomal RNA, 16S-23S ribosomal RNA intergenic spacer, and 23S ribosomal RNA". The stretch from base 180 to 253 matches the Rfam family "tRNA". The record is from RNAcentral. Lineage: Bacteria; Bacillati; Cyanobacteriota.